UGGUUUGCUUCGGGUGGAUGGCUCUUGCUUGUGCAACAACUUCCACCUGACUUACCUCUUCAGUUAUUUGUUUAGGCUUGUAUUUCCUAAACAAAUUGUGGGUUUCCUGUGCUGCCUACCUAAGUUAUGGUAUUGUCCGGUUUGAUUUAGUCGCUUUCGUCUUGUGUCAUUUUGGUGGCACCUGAUGAACCAUGAAGCAGUCUUUUUGAUCCACAUCGCUAAUGUUUACGUUGAUGUUGUGGCCCAUUGAGWUUUGCUUGGUAUCCUGUAUACGGAACCUGAUGUGGGCAUGGGGUCCCAUGGGAUCCUUGUCCUGCCCUAAUUUAGGCUACGUGCAACUCUUAAUACGACUUCCCGGCUCGAAAUUGGCUAGUUACCAGCGAACGGGUAAUGUCAAAGAGUGGUGCGCCUCUUAGAAUGACUGUCCCGYCUGAAACUGGCUUGUUACCAGCGGGCGGGUAAUGUCAAAGAGGAAUG
Molecule: unclassified non-coding RNA, 477 nt
Filed under: Dahlia tenuicaulis
Lineage: Eukaryota; Viridiplantae; Streptophyta; Magnoliopsida; Asterales; Asteraceae
Description: partial contains external transcribed spacer and 18S ribosomal RNA
Source: RNAcentral